UGAGGAAUAUUGGUCAAUGGGCGGGAGCCUGAACCAGCCAAGCCGCGUGAGGGAGGAAGGCCCUAUGGGUCGUAAACCUCUUUUGUCAGGGAACAAAAGCGAGUAUGUAUACUAGUCUGAGUGUACCUGAAGAAAAAGCAUCGGCUAACUCCGUGCCAGCAGCCGCGGUAAUACGGAGGAUGCGAGCGUUAUCCGGAUUUAUUGGGUUUAAAGGGUGCUAGGCGGCGGUGCAAGUCAGCGGUAAAAGCCCGGGGCUCAACCCCGGCGAGCCGUUGAAACUGCAGUGCUAGAGAAGGCGAGAGGUACGUGGAAUGCGCAGUGUAGCGGUGAAAUGCUUAGAUAUUGCGCAGAACUCCGAUUGCGAAGGCAGCGUACUGGCGCCUGACUGACGCUGAGGCACGAAAGCGUGGGGAUCGAACAGGAUUAGAUACC
Molecule: ribosomal RNA, 432 nt
Filed under: uncultured bacterium
Lineage: Bacteria
Description: bacterial SSU rRNA
Rfam family: Bacterial small subunit ribosomal RNA
Source: RNAcentral